Molecule: microRNA precursor, 95 nt
Filed under: Branchiostoma floridae (Florida lancelet)
Lineage: Eukaryota; Metazoa; Chordata; Leptocardii; Amphioxiformes; Branchiostomatidae
Description: microRNA bfl-mir-200c precursor
Gene: bfl-mir-200c
Rfam family: mir-8/mir-141/mir-200 microRNA precursor family (bases 18-83)
About the family: The bounds of the precursors are predicted based on conservation and base pairing and are not generally known.
Source: miRBase by way of RNAcentral
AUCUAACAUGGCGGAGUUGUGUCAUCUUACCUGGCAGGUUUAGAUGGUUCUGGGAUCUAACACUGUCUGGUAAUGAUGACGGGACUCCGCACAUA